GCUGGUGUAGCUCAGCUGGCAGAGCAGUUGAUUUGUAACCAACAGGUCGCAGGUUCGAUCCCUGUCACCAGCUCCA
RNAcentral lists this transfer RNA (76 nucleotides) under Flavonifractor sp. An82. RNAcentral's name for it is "tRNA-Thr". It matches the Rfam family "tRNA". From Rfam's summary of the family: Transfer RNA (tRNA) molecules are approximately 80 nucleotides in length. Their secondary structure includes four short double-helical elements and three loops (D, anti-codon, and T loops). Lineage: Bacteria; Bacillati; Bacillota; Clostridia; Eubacteriales; Oscillospiraceae. The record is from RNAcentral.